AUGGCCUCUCAUCGGGGAGCAACCGAUAUCAACUAGUUAUCUAGAGUGGUAUUCGCUGAGAUUAGUAAGCAUUGGAUAAUGCUCGCUUAAACCCGUACAACCUGACUCAGAUAAUGCUG
RNAcentral lists this unclassified non-coding RNA (119 nucleotides) under Aliivibrio wodanis. RNAcentral describes it as "TPP riboswitch (THI element)". Lineage: Bacteria; Pseudomonadati; Pseudomonadota; Gammaproteobacteria; Vibrionales; Vibrionaceae. The record is from RNAcentral.